CGAAAAAUAACGAUACGGGACUCAUCCGAGGCCCCGUAAUCGGAAUGAGUACACUCUAAACCCUUUAACGAGGAUCAAUUGGAGGGCAAGUCUGGUGCCAGCAGCCGCGGUAAUUCCAGCUCCAAUAGCGUAUAUUAAAGUUGUUGCGGUUAAAAAGCUCGUAGUCGAAUUUGUGUCCCGCGCCGCCGGUUCAUCGCUCGCGGUGUCAACUGGCGUGUCCGCGGGACGUCCUGCCGGUGGGCUCAGCCCCUGCGGGGGCGGCCCAAUCUCAAUCCCACCGCGGUGCUCUUCACUGAGUGUCGAGGUGGGCCGGCACGUUUACUUUGAACAAAUUAGAGUGCUUAAAGCAGGCUAAAACAUCGCCUGAAUACUGUGUGCAUGGAAUAAUGGAAUAGGACCUCGGUUCUAUUUUGUUGGUUUUCGGGACUCCGAGGUAAUGAUUAACAGGAACGGAUGGGGGCAUUCGUAUUGCGACGUUAGAGGUGAAAUUCUUGGAUCGUCGCAAGACGGACAGAAGCGAAAGCAUUUGCCAAAAACGUUUUCAUUGAUCAAGAACGAAAGUUAGAGGUUCGAAGGCGAUCAGAUACCGCCCUAGUUCUAACCAUAAACGAUGCCAGCUAGCGAUUCGCCGACGUUCCUCCGAUGACUCGGCGGGCAGCUUCCGGGAAACCAAAGCUUUUGGGUUCCGGGGGAAGUAUGGUUGCAAAGCUGAAACUUAAAGGAAUUGACGGAAGGGCACCACCAGGAGUGGAGCCUGCGGCUUAAUUUGACUCAACACGGGAAACCUCACCAGGCCCGGACACCGGAAGGAUUGACAGAUUGAGAG
RNAcentral lists this ribosomal RNA (826 nucleotides) under Nanos sp. 1 HKW-2010. RNAcentral describes it as "SSU rRNA". It matches the Rfam family "Eukaryotic small subunit ribosomal RNA", at positions 471 to 1254 of the family's 1831-position model. Lineage: Eukaryota; Metazoa; Arthropoda; Insecta; Coleoptera; Scarabaeidae. The record is from RNAcentral.